Molecule: ribosomal RNA, 2858 nt
Filed under: marine sediment metagenome
Description: bacterial LSU rRNA
Rfam family: Bacterial large subunit ribosomal RNA
Source: RNAcentral
UCUCCGACGUCAUCCCUUUGCUGAAUAUAUAAGCUUAGGGAGGGGAACCUGGGGAACUGAAACAUCUUAUUACCCAGAGGAAAAGAGAUUAUUCCGCUAGUAGUGGCGAGCGAACGCGGAUCAGCCCAAACCAGUCCGGCUUGCCGGAUUGGGGUUGUAGGACCAGCGUAUGGGAGUUAGAAAUCGGAUGGCUAGCAGAAUGGUGUUGAAAAGCCUACCAUAGAGGGUGCUAGUCCCGUAAGCGAAAGCCGUCCGACUCCCGCUGAGUUCCUGAGUACCACCGGGCACGCUAAUCCGGUGGGAAGCUGGGGAGCCCACUCUCCAAGGCUAAAUACAUUUGGCAACCGAUAGUGAACAAGUACCGUGAGGGAAAGGUGAAAAGAACCCCUGUUAGGGGAGUGAAAUAGAAUCUGAAACCGUGCGCUUACAAGCAGUCGGAGGGCUAAUGGCGGGUCUGUGUCCCCGGGAAACCGGGUGAUGCGCCGCUAGGCCUGACGGCGUGCCUUUUGGAGAAUGAGCCGGCGAGUUAAUUUUUGUGGCGAGGUUAAGGGAGAAACACCCGGAGCCGUAGCGAAAGCGAGUCUGAAUAGGGCGUUGAGUCGCAAGGAUUAGACACGAAACCAGGUGAGCUACCCAUGGCCAGGGUGAAGCGAGUCUAAACACUCGUGGAGGCCCGAACCUUUAGCUGUUGCAAAAGCUUGGGAUGAGCUGUGGGUAGAGGUGAUAUGCCAAACGAACCUGGAGAUAGCUUGUUCUCCCCGAAAUAGCUUUAGGGCUAGCCUCACGCGUUCAGUACCGGAGGUAGAGCACUGGAUGGGCUAGGGGGCAAAUAGCUUACCGAACUCAACCAAACUCCGAAUGCCGGUACUUAAAAGCGUGGGAGUCGGACUACGGGAGAUGAGUUUCGUAGUCGAGAGGGAAAGAGCCCAGACCGCCGGCUAAGGUCCUUAAGUUCAGGCUAAGUGGGAAACGUUGUGGGAUUGCGCGGACAGCCAGGAGGUUGGCUUAGAAGCAGCCACCCUUUAAAGAGUGCGUAAUAGCUCACUGGUCGAACGCUUUUGCGCGGAAAAUUUAACGGGGCUUAAGCAUAGUACCGAAGCCACGGAUAGUAAUGGUUUGCCAUUGCUAUGGUAGGAGAGCGUUCUGUAGGAGAUACAAGGUUGACUGAAAAGACAGCUGUGGCCUACAGAAGUGAGAAUGCUGGCAUGAGUAGCGUAAAACAUGUGAGAAACAUGUUCCCCGUAAACCUAAGGUUUCCGACGGAAGGUUAAUCCGCGUCGGGUCAGUCGGUCCUUAGCCGAGGCCGAGAGGCGUAGGUGAUGGAUAUCCGGUUAAUAUUCCGGAACCACUUAAACAGAGCGAUGAGGGGACGCAGCAUGGUAGGUCAGCCUCUUAAUGGAUUGAGGUGCCAAACGUCUAGGGUAACGAUGAGUGUAGGUAAAUCCGCACUCGGAGCCUGAAGCGUGAUGGCGGUGCCAAUAGAGCCGAAAGUGAUUGAGCCAAGCUGCCAAGAAAAUCCUCUAAGCGAUGAAGUUUAAGUGACCGUACCGCAAACCGACACUGGUAGGUGGGUAGAGUAUACCAAGGGGAUCGGGAGAACCCUCGUUAAGGAACUAGGCAAAAUACCUCCGUAACUUCGGGAGAAGGAGGGCCUCUAGCGGUUAGCAAUUAAGCGAAGCUGUUGGAGGUCGCAGAGAAAUGGCUUUUCCAACUGUUUAACAAAAACACAGGUCUCUGCUAAGUCGAAAGACGAUGUAUAGGGGCUGACGCCUGCCCAGUGCUGGAAGGUUAAGGGGAGGGGUUAGAGCCGCCUUCGUUCGGCCCGAAGCUCUGAACCGAAGCCCCAGUGAACGGCGGCCGUAACUAUAACGGUCCUAAGGUAGCGAAAUUCCUUGUCGGGUAAGUUCCGACCCGCACGAAUGGCGUAAUGAGAGGAGCACUGUCUCGACGAGGGACUCGGCGAAAUUGAAGUACGUGUAAAGAUGCGCGUUACCCGCAGCAGGACAAAAAGACCCCGUGGAGCUUUACUACAGCUUGGCAUUGCGUUAGGGCUUAGUCUGUGUAGGAUAGGUGGGAGGCUGUGAAGCUGGGACGCUCAGUCUCGGUGGAGCCGCACUUGAAAUACCACCCUGAUUAAGUCUUGGCCCUAACCUGCGUCCGUUAACCGGCGUGGGGACAGUGCCUGGUGGGUAGUUUGACUGGGGCGGUCGCCUCCGAAAGAGUAACAGAGGCGCCCAAAGGUUCCCUCAGGCUGAAUGGAAACCAGCCGCAGAGUGUAAAGGCACAAGGGAGCUUGACUGCAAGACCUACAAGUCGCGCAGGGACGAAAGUCGGGCUUAGUGAUCCCACGGUACCGAGUGGAAGGGCCGUGGCUUACCGGAUAAAAGCUACCCCGGGGAUAACAGGCUAGUCUGGUCCAAGAGUUCAUAUCGACGACCAGGCUCGGCACCUCGAUGUCGGCUCAUCGCAUCCUGGGGCUGGAUAAGGUCCCAAGGGUUGGGCUGUUCGCCCAUUAAAGCGGUACGUGAGCUGGGUUCAGACCGUCGUGAGACAGGUCGGUCUCUAUCCGCUGUGGGCGCAAGGGAUUUGAGAGGAGCUGCCCCUAGUACGAGAGGACCGGGGUGGACAGACCUCUAGUGUGCCAGUUGUUCCGCCAGGAGCAUCGCUGGGUAGCUACGUCUGGCAGAGAUAACCGCUGAAAGCAUCUAAGCGGGAAGCUCGCCUCAAGAUAAGAUCCCUCAUCCAAGUGCUUUGCGCUUGGAGUAAGACCGCUAGGAGACUACUAGUUUGAUAGGCGGCAUGUGUAAGUGCAGUAAUGUACUCAGCUAAGCCGUACUAAUGGUCGAGGGCUUACAUUG